RNAcentral lists this small nucleolar RNA (76 nucleotides) under Aphanomyces astaci. Its description in RNAcentral is "Small nucleolar RNA SNORD24". It matches the Rfam family "Small nucleolar RNA SNORD24". Rfam says of the family: U24 is a member of the C/D class of snoRNA which contain the C (UGAUGA) and D (CUGA) box motifs. C/D box snoRNAs have been shown to act as methylation guides for a number of RNA targets. Lineage: Eukaryota; Oomycota; Saprolegniomycetes; Saprolegniales; Verrucalvaceae. The record is from Rfam by way of RNAcentral.
GUUCAAGGAUGUACAAAAAUAUUUGCUACUCUUGAUAAUCAAUGACGACACUUAAAUCACCAAGAUCGCUGAGAAC